UUCAGAAAAGUGAAGAAAUAUUGAACGUUGUUAAUAAAAAAAUCGUCAACGAUAAAAGACUAGGAACACUUCCUAAGAACUUUAAGAUUUGUACCUGGUAUAAUUAAACUACAGAAAAUAUUGAUAAAGAAAUACAACAGGCGACUAGAUAGAGUAGAGGCAUUAGGACUAACAAUGGAUAAAGUUCUGAUGGAGUUUCAUGAUACGAGAUCAUCUCUAAUUCUGUCUUGUUGGAAUGAUUUCAAACAAGCUUGAGAAAAUAUCCAACAGCAUAUGGAAGGAUAUGGAUUCCCAGUAAAUGGUAACUUUGUUUUUCUGUCUAAAGAGAACUGUUGCAGAAGAAUUGAUGAAAGUACACCAAUAGCUUAUGUUUUACCAUCGGAGAGAGACACUGGACUGUGUUCGUAUGCCCUGAUAUUCUUUCUACUGGAGAAACAAAACUUAUUCUUAGAGAAAUACUGUCAACAGAGGACAACUAAUUUCAGAUAUGACAGUCUCCCUCAAGUCAAGGUAAAAGAUUUAUCAGCGGCAGACCUAAUAAGUUAUCAUCCUGGCAGAGAUUUACUUCCAAUUAUUUUAGCUAAUUCUAACUUCUCGCUUGAAGUUGUUCCGGAAACUAAAGUAAAGUACAACUUUAAAACCUGGAGAGACAGAUAAUGAACAGAUUUCUAUUUACAAAAUCUGUUAUUCUGCUUAAGGAGAUUGAGACAGUUAUGUACAGAUUUGAAACAACCAAUGCUGUAGUCUUUUUACAACUCAGAGACAGAUUUAAACAAGAAAGAAUCAGUGUCCCAGUACUUCGACAAAUUCAGACUGACCUAGAUCAGAAGACUUUCUCGGAAUUGUGUGAUAGUAUUGACAAAUUAGACAUAGCUAUAAAUUUCCUGAAGUCAGAUUGUUCUGAACCAGAGAGUCUAUUGGGUGACUUCAUGGUCAACAUAAUGAAAGAUGCUGAUAACUUAGUCAGUCAGA
Mytilus californianus (California mussel) is the source of this 972-nucleotide long non-coding RNA. RefSeq lists it as uncharacterized. NCBI's taxonomy places the organism in Eukaryota, Metazoa, Mollusca, Bivalvia, Mytilida, Mytilidae. The transcript is spliced from 7 exons. The record is from RefSeq and is a predicted model, not a curated record.